UGGGGAAUAUUGGACAAUGGGGGGAACCCUGAUCCAGCCAUGCCGCGUGUGUGAAGAAGGCCUUAUGGUUGUAAAGCACUUUAAGCGAGGAGGAGGCUCUUUUGGUUAAUACCCAAGAUGAGUGGACGUUACUCGCAGAAUAAGCACCGGCUAACUCUGUGCCAGCAGCCGCGGUAAUACAGAGGGUGCGAGCGUUAAUCGGAUUUACUGGGCGUAAAGCGUGCGUAGGCGGCUUUUUAAGUCGGAUGUGAAAUCCCCGAGCUUAACUUGGGAAUUGCAUUCGAUACUGGGAAGCUAGAGUAUGGGAGAGGAUGGUAGAAUUCCAGGUGUAGCGGUGAAAUGCGUAGAGAUCUGGAGGAAUACCGAUGGCGAAGGCAGCCAUCUGGCCUAAUACUGACGCUGAGGUACGAAAGCAUGGGGAGCAAACAGGAUUAGAUACCCUGGUAGUCCAUGCCGUAAACGAUGUCUACUAGCCGUUGGGGUCUUUGAGACUUUAGUGGCGCAG
RNAcentral lists this ribosomal RNA (505 nucleotides) under uncultured bacterium. RNAcentral describes it as "partial 16S ribosomal RNA". It matches the Rfam family "Bacterial small subunit ribosomal RNA", at positions 355 to 851 of the family's 1533-position model. The record is from RNAcentral.